GCCUACGACCAUCUCACCCUGAAUGCGCCCGAUCUCGUCUGAUCUCGGAAGCUAAGCGGAGUCGAGCCUAGUUAGUACUUGGAUGGGAGACUGCCUGGGAAUACCAGGUGUUGUAGGCU
Molecule: ribosomal RNA, 119 nt
Filed under: Petromyzon marinus (sea lamprey)
Lineage: Eukaryota; Metazoa; Chordata; Hyperoartia; Petromyzontiformes; Petromyzontidae
Source: RNAcentral